Molecule: ribosomal RNA, 227 nt
Filed under: Clostridioides difficile
Lineage: Bacteria; Bacillati; Bacillota; Clostridia; Peptostreptococcales; Peptostreptococcaceae
Description: partial 16S ribosomal RNA
Rfam family: Bacterial small subunit ribosomal RNA
Source: RNAcentral
AGCGGAGCAUGUGGUUUAAUUCGAAGCAACGCGAAGAACCUUACCUAAGCUUGACAUCCCAAUGACAUCUCCUUAAUCGGAGAGUUCCCUUCGGGGACGUUGGUGACAGGUGGUGCAUGGUUGUCGUCAGCUCGUGUCGUGAGAUGUUGGGUUAAGUCCCGCAACGAGCGCAACCCUUGUCUUUAGUUGCCAUCAUUAAGUUGGGCACUCUAGAGAGACUGCCAGGG